Molecule: small nuclear RNA, 156 nt
Filed under: Citrus x clementina
Lineage: Eukaryota; Viridiplantae; Streptophyta; Magnoliopsida; Sapindales; Rutaceae
Description: Citrus clementina snRNA U1
Source: RNAcentral
GCAGAAUUGGCUGGGCCCAUAUUCCAUACAACAAAUUACAAGGUAGGCUCUCCUAGCUUGAGAAGACCUUGGGGCAUCCCUCCAAGAAUUGCAAUGCAGGACAGUUCUGGAUCAUGACCCUCAUUGAUCACUCAUACACCCCGUCCAGGUGAGUGA